This is a long non-coding RNA of Anopheles moucheti, 665 nucleotides long. RefSeq lists it as uncharacterized. Lineage: Eukaryota; Metazoa; Arthropoda; Insecta; Diptera; Culicidae. The transcript is spliced from 3 exons. The record is from RefSeq and is a predicted model, not a curated record.
AGCGCCAUAUCUUUUUCGACUGUCCCAAGUGCGUGAGGACGAGCUUUUCGAAUACAAACGGUUGGCCCAUAUAGAGCAGUUGCUCUUUACCGCGCAUCGUCUUAGUAAAUACGGCUAACGUUUCGUCCGAAUCGCUACAAUCACUCUUCGCGGUUUUGACAAUUGUUGCGAUAAUUCGUCUUUCACGACUUGCUGCAAAGGAAGGAAGGGAAAAAAUAAAUUAUGAAAAUAUUAAUACAGCGUGGUGGUAAGGGUACCAGCAACACAACACAUUGCUAGUUCGUUGCUGUGCGUUUGAUAAGUCAUAUUUGCCUAAAAUUAGUUAAAAUCUACAAUGCAUAUACAGUACAGAAUAUUCAUCACCAUCGGCAUUUUCAGCUAUUACAUACAAAUGCGCUGCAACUAGGCAUUCUUCGACCAUUGCCGUUACUUAUUCUCCCGUUCGUGGUUGUGCUUGUGUCUGUUCAACUUCAAUGCACCGUCUUCCAUCCGCUGAACUAGGCGGGCCAGGCAACGUCGCUGUACGGUUAAACAAACAGUCGGAAGAGAAAGGUUAACUCGGUGUAGUCUUAGGCCACUGGCACCUUAUGCUUCUUCAACCUCCGUAAGCACGGCAAUUGGGCCAUGAUUGUGCCACUUUUUACCAAACCGAAUACCACCCGCAC